This 247-nucleotide long non-coding RNA is filed under the name Carica papaya (papaya). Its description in RNAcentral is "long non-coding RNA (CPAP_LNC003173)". Lineage: Eukaryota; Viridiplantae; Streptophyta; Magnoliopsida; Brassicales; Caricaceae. The record is from RNAcentral.
UUGCUUAAGGUUGCUAAUGGAGCCCAAAUCUGGUGUAUUUGUCAGUCAGUUGUUGUUUGAUCUAUUUUACAGUUUUAAAUGCAGUAUGGUACUUGAUGUGGUUAUUUUAUGGUUUUGUAUGCGUGAAUCCCGGUUUCAUUUAUUAUGGUUUGAAUUAUGGUGAACCCGAUGUUGUGUUGUUUUGUUUGGUGUUCAUUACUGGUUUACGUGUUUAUGUUUGAUUUGAUAAUUGAGACCAAGAAAAAUG